This 264-nucleotide long non-coding RNA is filed under the name Ananas comosus (pineapple). RNAcentral describes it as "long non-coding RNA (ACOM_LNC003962)". Lineage: Eukaryota; Viridiplantae; Streptophyta; Magnoliopsida; Poales; Bromeliaceae. The record is from RNAcentral.
UAUUACUUAUCUUAUAAACGAUCAGAUCAUCAUUUUUCAAAAAGAAGAAGUCUCAAAUGAACGAACUGUACAAUGUCGCACUUAUACCAUAUCGUGGUAUGUAAUAAGCCAAUCAUAUCUCUUUUUUUGAGACAAAAGUAUAAUAAGAAUAGAUGAAUUCGAGAAGAAUAAUUCUAUUGAUUCGGAAUGCUACGUCAGCAAUAUCACCUGUGAAAAUAAAAAGUUGGGGACCAAAAUUGAAAAUGGGGUAAAGGGUGGGGGGAC